Long non-coding RNA from Patiria miniata (bat star), 2020 nucleotides. RefSeq lists it as uncharacterized. The record is from RefSeq and is a predicted model, not a curated record. The transcript is spliced from 2 exons. Lineage: Eukaryota; Metazoa; Echinodermata; Asteroidea; Valvatida; Asterinidae.
CAUGCUUGUAUCAUCAAAGGCACAAUCCCCCAAAUAUUUCCCCUAUCUGCCCCACUACAUGCAUGUUACACAAAAAGAAAAAUACUUUUGAUCUGAUACUACAUACAUACAUGACUGGCAUUCCUAGUUGAGCAGGAGGACAGCUAUUUAAUGAUACGUUUCUUUGAAAUAAACUUGUAUGCAUUCUUGCCCCUGCUCGGAAGAACAAAACCAGACAUUAAAUGCAGAAAUUAUUGUUUAAAAAGCAAGAGGAUGCAAUUCCCUGGGUUUUUUUUAUCAUUGUAAUACAUGUAGGACAGAUUCCUCUAUAGUAUUGGCUUCAGCACAUUUCAUCGCAUUGACUUGGUUUGUUUUGGCAUAAUAAGCCUUUUCGGAGUUCCAACUGCGCAUUCAUAACCUGUGACAACGCGCAUUGUUUGUCUCAAAUGGCCUUUGACAACAUCGCGCCACUGACUUUACAAAAAGGCUGUUUGUGCAAUGUGGGUACUGUCAAAGGGCAUUUGAGACAAACAAUGUGCGUUGUCACAGGUUACGAAUGCGCGCAGUUGGAACUCCGAAAAGGCUUAUAAAAUGCUGUAUGGGGAAACUGCUCUACUUCAUUUCACUAGUGUAAGCUGAUGUGCUAACAUUCACCAUAAUAUAUGUACUAUCUGACUUGAAGGCAUGAGCAUCAAAUAUAUACACGUGUGCAGAGCCACACUUCAAAUGUCUGAUAUAUCCUAGCAGGCAAAUUUUACGUGACCCCGCGCCAGCAAAUCGGAGUUGACUUUAGAAAAUGUGACGUCAGUCCGAUCAGAAAUGUGGACUAAGCUGUUGAUUAGUCAAUUUGGCUGCCAUGUUUUGUAAUAGAACGUACGGGUUACACAAGACCCGAUACAAGGCACCCACUGAAUUUUGAGGUCAAGACGCAGUCUUGCUUUGCAUAAUCAACCAGUUUGUGCCGGAUGACGUGUAUACAUGCAUAGGCUUUGUGGUAUUUAGAACGGAUGACAGAUAAACACGCACAUGACGCCGGGAGCGAGGCCGGAAUAUCUGUCAGUGACCAGCUCGCAGCGAGCAAGGCUGGAAAUGUGAGUGUGCUGCCCGAAGGUGAUGGCUUCAACCCGCCUGGCUUGAGGUCGAGUGAAAAAUAAUCCCGCGUCUCAUAUCGUUCUUGUCAAAAUAAUCCUUGCGUGAACUGGUUACUCGCCAAAUCUGCGCGAAUAUCAUAGACGCGUGUCUGCAAGCGGCUAUUCCAUACAUGUAGACUACCCUUCGUGGUGGACAGCCACAUACUCAAUGACACAUGUACAUCUACACUGUAAUUUGACUAACAACUACAUAAAUAACUACAUGUAGGUAAAAAAAGUAAUUCAAUAAAAACAAUUUUAGUUUAGUUGAUUAUGCCGUUUACAUCUCAUUCUCAUUGGAAAUUGUUAGUAAAUUGACUAAGACAUGUACAUUGUAAAUCUGAGGUAAAGGCAUAGGCCUACUUUGUAGUUAGCCAUUCCAAAGAAACUGCUGCGAUGAAAAAUCCUCACUUUUUUAUGUUUUUUAAAUGUGUAAAUGAAAAUGCUACCCUAGUAAAUCACAUGUACAUGUAAAGGCUCACUCGAAUGCUCCUUGUGAAAUGGCAGUAUUGUUAAUGUAAAGAAUAAAAGUAUAUUUGUCUUUGUCCAAUUCCAAAUACUUUUGUAUUUCGAAUAUUCGAAAGUCAGAAAUCGAGUUAACACAUGUCAGCUGCAACUGUCGAAAAUUGUACGCAAAAGCGCGCCAGUUAAAGUUUGUUCGCUGCAAUCGAUGUAAUGGGCCGCAGGAGUGUUUUGCAGUAAGUAUUUUAUUACUGUCAAUGGCUUUAACCUUCUGACUUAAAGGAUGGGAACAAUGAACAGCCAUCAACAAAAGCCGUAGUUGUACGCAAAAGCGCGCCAGUUCAAGUUUGUUUGCGGCGAUCGAUGUAAUGGGCCGCAGGAGUGUUUUGCAGUAAGUAUUUUAUUACUGUCAAUGGCUUUUACCUACUGACUUAAAGGAUGGGAACAAU